UUGUUCAUCCUAGAGCUGAAUCAAGUACUAACAAUUAAAUACUUUGAGUACUAUCUUUGAGUGCUGAACUCAAAGUACAGACAGUAAGAGAGUAAUGUUAUUUCUGACCCAGGGAAAAGAUCCAGGAGUUUUUGCCAGAGAUGAAGUUACCAGUAAUACUGAAACGCUUGCCAGAUGGAAGAAGUUAAUUAUAUCCCGCCUACAAGCACGUAGACUCCAGACUAGUCAGAACCAGAAGGUUGAUGCUGUUGACUCCUGAGUACCUCACCACCAACCAAUCGGAAGAAUGUCCAUGAGCUGAUCACAUAACCCACAACCCUCUCCUCAGGAUGUAUCCCCUUCUUUUCCAAUAUAAUUUCUGAGUAAAACCUGGGAAGUCAGGAGUUUGUUCUUUGGGACGAGUCCACCUCUUCCCCAGGAUUGCAAGCUUCCUCAGUAAAGCUGUCUUUCCUUUUACCCAA
Non-coding RNA from Delphinapterus leucas (beluga whale), 461 nucleotides. Lineage: Eukaryota; Metazoa; Chordata; Mammalia; Artiodactyla; Monodontidae. The record is from RefSeq and is a predicted model, not a curated record.